CCCCCUGCAGUGACAGUGGGUGAGGGCUCAGUGUCACUCUGGGGUUUGGCAGGACCCCUCUGGCUCCCUCUGACCCUUCUGCACGUCAGGGCUGAGCAUUUCCUGCUGCCUGACCCAACUAAAGUGCAGCAAUAAAAUUCAGGGUGGAGCUGUGUCCAGCUCUGGGGUCAGAGAGGACAUGGACCUACUGGAGAGAGUCCAAAGCCUUUCCAAGCAUAAGGAAUGAGGAAGAUGGGGCCCAAAACGUUGGAGAGCUUAGGAAACGUCAGCCUGGCUUUGAGCGUUGAGAAGGUGCAAAGGACCUCCUGUGUGUGUGUUCAUGUCUUUGACAGAGAUGGGAAUAGGAAAAUGAGAUCAAGAUGCUUUUGGUACAUUACUGGAAACAGAACAAUAAAAAAAAAGAGCAACCUCCAAGCAGUUCAGGGUCAGAUCCUGCAGAGUCCAGGUGCCAACACUCUGGUUUCCCCCUGGAGGUGCUGGGACAGGACACCACCCUGGCACUGCUCUGGCUGGAGGAAGAAGAGGCACCAGCCCCAUUUUCCCCUCUGCUCUUGCAGAAUUCC
Long non-coding RNA from Lepidothrix coronata (blue-crowned manakin), 563 nucleotides. RefSeq lists it as uncharacterized. The transcript is spliced from 4 exons. The record is from RefSeq and is a predicted model, not a curated record. Lineage: Eukaryota; Metazoa; Chordata; Aves; Passeriformes; Pipridae.